UACGGAGGGGGCUAGCGUUGUUCGGAAUUACUGGGCAUAAAGCGCACGUAGGCGGCUUUGCAAGUCAGAGGUGAAAGCCCGGGGCUCAACCCCGGAAUAGCCUUUGAGACUGCAUCGCUAGAAUUGUGGAGAGGUAAGUGGAAUUCCGAGUGUAGAGGUGAAAUUCGUGGAUAUUCGGAAGAACACCAGUGGCGAAGGCGACUUACUGGACACAUAUUGACGCUGAGGUGCGAAAGCGUGGGGAGCAAACAGG
Molecule: ribosomal RNA, 253 nt
Filed under: uncultured bacterium
Lineage: Bacteria
Description: partial 16S ribosomal RNA
Rfam family: Bacterial small subunit ribosomal RNA
Source: RNAcentral